CCUACGGGGUGGCUGCAGUGGGGAAUAUUGGACAAUGGGCGAAAGCCUGAUCCAGCCAUGCCGCGUGUGUGAAGAAGGCCUUCGGGUUGUAAAGCACUUUCAGUGGGGAAGAAAGCCUUGGGGCUAAUACCCUCGAGGAAGGACAUCACCCACAGAAGAAGCACCGGCUAACUCCGUGCCAGCAGCCGCGGUAAUACGGAGGGUGCGAGCGUUAAUCGGAAUUACUGGGCGUAAAGCGCGCGUAGGCGGUCUGAUAAGCCGGUUGUGAAAGCCCCGGGCUCAACCUGGGAACGGCAUCCGGAACUGUCAGGCUAGAGUGCAGGAGAGGAAGGUAGAAUUCCCGGUGUAGCGGUGAAAUGCGUAGAGAUCGGGAGGAAUACCAGUGGCGAAGGCGGCCUUCUGGACUGACACUGACGCUGAGGUGCGAAAGCGUGGGUAGCAAACAGGAUUAGAUACCCGAGUAGUC
RNAcentral lists this ribosomal RNA (466 nucleotides) under Vreelandella stevensii. RNAcentral's name for it is "partial 16S ribosomal RNA". It matches the Rfam family "Bacterial small subunit ribosomal RNA", at positions 338 to 795 of the family's 1533-position model. Lineage: Bacteria; Pseudomonadati; Pseudomonadota; Gammaproteobacteria; Oceanospirillales; Halomonadaceae. The record is from RNAcentral.